GCCGGAGUGGCGGAAUGGCAGACGCAGCGGACUUAAAAUCCGCUGGGGCGCUUAGUCCCGUGCUGGUUCGAGUCCAGCCUCCGGCACCA
This 89-nucleotide transfer RNA is filed under the name Candidatus Krumholzibacteriia bacterium. RNAcentral's name for it is "tRNA-Leu". It matches the Rfam family "tRNA". Rfam says of the family: Transfer RNA (tRNA) molecules are approximately 80 nucleotides in length. Their secondary structure includes four short double-helical elements and three loops (D, anti-codon, and T loops). Further hydrogen bonds mediate the characteristic L-shaped molecular structure. tRNAs have two regions of fundamental functional importance: the anti-codon, which is responsible for specific mRNA codon recognition, and the 3' end, to which the tRNAs corresponding amino acid is attached (by aminoacyl-tRNA synthetases). tRNAs cope with the degeneracy of the genetic code in two manners: having more than one tRNA (with a specific anti-codon) for a particular amino acid; and 'wobble' base-pairing, i.e. permitting non-standard base-pairing at the 3rd anti-codon position. Lineage: Bacteria; Candidatus Krumholzibacteriota; Candidatus Krumholzibacteriia. The record is from RNAcentral.